CCAUCAACAUAUAAAGUCUUCAUGUGGUACCUUCAUCGGUGAGUUGUGCUAAUGAAAGACAACCUUGUACGGCGUAACUGGCCAGGGAGUGAGAAGUGUUGCUUUUGUGCUCAUGAUAAGACAAUCAAGCACCUCUUUUUCCGUUGCAAAUUUGCAUGUUCUACAUGGUCAGUCAUCCAAACAGCGUUGAAUUUGUAUUCGUCCACAAGUGUUGCCAAUAUAUUUGGUCAUUAG
RNAcentral lists this ribosomal RNA (234 nucleotides) under Triticum aestivum (bread wheat). Its description in RNAcentral is "partial small subunit ribosomal RNA". Lineage: Eukaryota; Viridiplantae; Streptophyta; Magnoliopsida; Poales; Poaceae. The record is from RNAcentral.